AACGAACGCUAGCGGCAGGCUUAACACAUGCAAGUCGAACGAGAAAGUUUUCCUUCGGGAAAAUGGACAGUGGCAGACGGGUGAGUAACGCGUGGGAACCUACCUGAUGGUACGGAAUAACUCAGGGGAAACUUGAGCUAAUACCGUAUGUGCCCUUCGGGGGAAAGAUUUAUCGCCAUCAGAUGGGCCCGCGUCAGAUUAGCUAGUUGGUGAGGUAACGGCUCACCAAGGCGACGAUCUGUAGCUGGUCUGAGAGGAUGAUCAGCCACACUGGGACUGAGACACGGCCCAGACUCCUACGGGAGGCAGCAGUGGGGAAUAUUGCACAAUGGGCGCAAGCCUGAUGCAGCCAUGCCGCGUGAGUGAUGAAGGCCUUAGGGUUGUAAAGCUCUUUCACCGAUGAAGAUAAUGACGGUAAUCGGAGAAGAAGCCCCGGCUAACUUCGUG
Molecule: ribosomal RNA, 447 nt
Filed under: uncultured bacterium
Lineage: Bacteria
Description: bacterial SSU rRNA
Rfam family: Bacterial small subunit ribosomal RNA
Source: RNAcentral